GAUGAAGAACGUAGUGAAAUGCGAUAAGUAAUGUGAAUUGCAGAAUUCAGUGAAUCAUCGAAUCUUUGAACGCACAUUGCGCCCGCCAGUAUUCUGGCGGGCAUGCCUGUUCGAGCGUCAUUUCAACCAUCAAGCCCCAGGCUUGUGUUGGGGACCUGCGGCUGCCGCAGGCCCUGAAAACCAGUGGCGGGCUCGCUGUCACACCGGGCGUAGUAGAUUUUAUCUCGCUCAGGGCGUGCUGCGGGUUCCGGCCGUUAAAAAGCCUUUUUUACCCAAGGUUGACCUCGGAUCAGGUAGGAAGACCCGCUGAACUUAAGCAUAUCAAUAAGCGGGGA
This 335-nucleotide unclassified non-coding RNA is filed under the name soil metagenome. RNAcentral describes it as "partial contains 5.8S ribosomal RNA, internal transcribed spacer 2, and large subunit ribosomal RNA". The stretch from base 1 to 120 matches the Rfam family "5.8S ribosomal RNA", at positions 35 to 154 of the family's 154-position model. The record is from RNAcentral.